AACGAACGCUGGCGGCAGGCUUAACACAUGCAAGUCGAGCGCCCCGCAAGGGGAGCGGCAGACGGGUGAGUAACGCGUGGGAAUCUACCCAGCUCUACGGAAUAACCCAGGGAAACUUGGACUAAUACCGUAUACGUCCUCCGGGAGAAAGAUUUAUCGGAGUUGGAUGAGCCCGCGUUGGAUUAGCUAGUUGGUGGGGUAAUGGCCUACCAAGGCGACGAUCCAUAGCUGGUCUGAGAGGAUGAUCAGCCACACUGGGACUGAGACACGGCCCAGACUCCUACGGGAGGCAGCAGUGGGGAAUAUUGGACAAUGGGCGAAAGCCUGAUCCAGCCAUGCCGCGUGAGUGAUGAAGGCCCUAGGGUUGUAAAGCUCUUUCACCGGUGAAGAUAAUG
This 395-nucleotide ribosomal RNA is filed under the name uncultured bacterium. RNAcentral describes it as "bacterial SSU rRNA". It matches the Rfam family "Bacterial small subunit ribosomal RNA", at positions 29 to 453 of the family's 1533-position model. The record is from RNAcentral.